GUGCCAGCCGCCGCGGUAACACGUAGGGGGCGAGCGUUGUCCGGAUUUAUUGGGCGUAAAGGGCUCGUAGGUGGUUCAGCAAGUCAACUGUGAAAGUCCGGGGCUCAACCCCGGGAGGCCAGUCGAAACUGCUGUGACUAGGGUCCGGUAGAGGUGAGUGGAAUUCUCGGUGUAGCGGUGAAAUGCGCAGAUAUCGAGAGGAACACCAGUAGCGAAGGCGGCUCACUGGGCCGGUACCGACACUGAGGAGCGAAAGCGUGGGGAGCAAACAGGAUUAGAAACCCGUGUAGUCC
RNAcentral lists this ribosomal RNA (293 nucleotides) under uncultured bacterium. Its description in RNAcentral is "partial 16S ribosomal RNA". It matches the Rfam family "Bacterial small subunit ribosomal RNA", at positions 505 to 796 of the family's 1533-position model. The record is from RNAcentral.